GAAGCCAGGCGACUUAGCGGUUAGCACGAGUGUAGAUUCUGUAAGAAUCAUAUUCCAGUUUUUAACCCCAGUCUCUGGUGCUUACUCCUGAAGACAGGCCUGUCCUGUGGGCAGGACUGGAAAGAAUCCAUUGCCUAGCACAAGGCAGAGGGCAAUGCUCCUUUGGGCUGUGGCUGAAGAUAGCCAGCUCUAUAUUCCCCGGGCUUGGGGUUACCACAGAGCCAGUCCUAAGAGCUAGAGUUCCUGUGUGGAUUUUUAGGCCCUAUUUCCUUUUGGUUAAAUUUCAUGACCUGAACGGCUACCUGCCAGCUUCUGUCUCAGGUCGGCCCCUUUGCUUGGGAAGAGCACCUCUCCUUCCAGUCUAUGCGAGCCAAGUGUGGUAAAUGUGUGUGUAUGUGUGGUUAGCCCAAGAAAGCCAGCUCAGCCCCUGCAAGGCAGCAGCGCGAUUGUGACGUCAGCAGCAGCCAAAUCAGCACCUCCAGAAUGGCAGUGGGGACCAGUCUGCUGUGUGGACACGCCGUCCUUGGACCCAUCCAGCACAAGAGCCCAGCUUCUCCAUCUGGGGUCCCUACCGCUGGCAGCACCGUCAUCGAACCUACCUCCACAUGGCAAAAUAAGAGCCCCUCCGAACGGCGGUGCCUGCUGAGGCAAGUGGAUCAACUGGGUCUGGAAGAGACUCCACUCAGAGAACUGUACAUGCGCAGGAGCCUUCAACUACUGCCCUGCAUCAGGGCCAAAGGGCCACCGCUGGGCAAAGCCCAACUGAAGAAGUUCGGACAUCUCCCUGUGGCAUGGUCCUACCCACAGCGGCCUCCUUCUGCUCCACAGAAAGUCUCUCUGCCUGCAAACCAUGGCCUACUUAUGGGGAACUAGAUUCAAGCGCCGAAGAGCCCCUUCCAGAAGAGAACUCCCACCUGUGCUAAGCGUGGAAAGGACAGUAGGUCACCGGGAGCAACUGUUUUUGCUUUCAUAGGACAAAACUUUGUGACCCUGUGUCCUCAGGGGAGACAGCUUUGUCAAGCAUGUGCUGGCGAAUGCCCUGAUCCUGGUCUUCAUGGGAUAGAAGUGACUGGUUGGGGAAUGGUGGACAAGGGACCCGGUGGUGUUUGCUGGACUGUGGGCAGAUCUUGCAUGACCUGGGAUGGGACUGGCAUAGCUGUAAGGUGGCUGCACCUUUCUAUGCCACUGUGCCAGUUUGUUUUGUCACACUUGGCAUUUAUAUGGGGGUUCUUGGAAUGGGAGAUGUUGCCUAUGUGAGGGUACACUGGGUACGCGGGAAGAUUGUGCAAUGUCUGUGGAAAUUUGGCUAAAUGCAGUCUGAAUAGAGAAUGGUGAGUUAUGAAA
Long non-coding RNA from Arvicola amphibius (Eurasian water vole), 1344 nucleotides. RefSeq lists it as uncharacterized. The transcript is spliced from 2 exons. The record is from RefSeq and is a predicted model, not a curated record. Lineage: Eukaryota; Metazoa; Chordata; Mammalia; Rodentia; Cricetidae.